AGUGAACGCUGGCGGCAGGCCUAACACAUGCAAGUCGAGCGGCAGCGCGUCCGACCACCCUCGGGUGGUCGGAUGGCGGCGAGCGGCGGACGGGUGAGGAAUGCAUCGGAAUCUGCCUCGUUGUGGGGGAUAACGUAGGGAAACUUACGCUAAUACCGCGUACGACCUACGGGUGAAAGUGGGGGACCUUCGGGCCUCACGCGAUGAGAUGAGCCGAUGCCGGAUUAGCUAGUUGGCGGGGUAAAGGCCCACCAAGGCGACGAUCCGUAGCUGGUCUGAGAGGAUGAUCAGCCACACUGGAACUGAGACACGGCCCAGACUCCUACGGGAGGCAGCAGUGGGGAAUUUUGGACAAUGGGCGCAAGCCUGAUCCAGCAAUGCCGCGUGAGUGAAGAAGGCCUCGGUUGUAAGGACUCUUCUAGUCGAGAAGAAAAAGACUAGCAGUGAAUAACUAGUAGUUCAUGACGGUAUACGACAGAAGAAGC
This 485-nucleotide ribosomal RNA is filed under the name uncultured bacterium. Its description in RNAcentral is "bacterial SSU rRNA". It matches the Rfam family "Bacterial small subunit ribosomal RNA", at positions 29 to 491 of the family's 1533-position model. The record is from RNAcentral.